UUUUGGACAAUGGGGGCAACCAUGAUCCAGCAAUGCCGCGUGAGUGAAGAAGGCCUUCGGGUUGUAAAGCUCUUUUGUCAGGGAAGAAACACCGGCUCUAACACAGUCCGGGAAUGACGGUACCUGAAGAAUAAGCACCGGCUAACUACGUGCCAGCAGCCGCGGUAAUACGUAGGGUGCGAGCGUUAAUCGGAAUUACUGGGCGUAAAGCGUGCGCAGGCGGUUAUACAAGACAGGCGUGAAAUCCCCGGGCUUAACCUGGGAAUGGCGCCUGUGACUGUAUAGCUAGAGUGUGUCAGAGGGGGGUAGAAUUCCACGUGUAGCAGUGAAAUGCGUAGAUAUGUGGAGGAAUACCAAUGGCGAAGGCAGCCCCCUGGGAUAACACUGACGCUCAUGCACGAAA
RNAcentral lists this ribosomal RNA (403 nucleotides) under uncultured bacterium. RNAcentral's name for it is "bacterial SSU rRNA". It matches the Rfam family "Bacterial small subunit ribosomal RNA", at positions 362 to 758 of the family's 1533-position model. The record is from RNAcentral.